This 1309-nucleotide ribosomal RNA is filed under the name uncultured Prevotella sp. Its description in RNAcentral is "bacterial SSU rRNA". The stretch from base 1 to 801 matches the Rfam family "Bacterial small subunit ribosomal RNA". Lineage: Bacteria; Pseudomonadati; Bacteroidota; Bacteroidia; Bacteroidales; Prevotellaceae. The record is from RNAcentral.
GAUGAACGCUGACAGAAUGCUCAACACAUGCAAGUCAACUUGAAUUUGGGUUUUUAACUUAGAUUUGGGUGGCGGACGGGUGAGUAACGCGUAAAGAACUUGCCUCACAGCUAGGGACAACAUUUAGAAAUGAAUGCUAAUACCUGAUAUUAUGAUUUUAAGGCAUCUUAGAAUUAUGAAAGCUAUAAGCACUGUGAGAGAGCUUUGCGUCCCAUUAGCUAGUUGGAGAGGUAACAGCUCACCAAGGCGAUGAUGGGUAGCCGGCCUGAGAGGGUGAACGGCCACAAGGGGACUGAGACACGGCCCUUACUCCUACGGGAGGCAGCAGUGGGGAAUAUUGGACAAUGGACCGAGAGUCUGAUCCAGCAAUUCUGUGUGCACGAUGAAGUUUUUCGGAAUGUAAAGUGCUUUCAGUUGGGAAGAAAUAAAUGACGGUACCAACAGAAGAAGUGACGGCUAAAUACUUGCCAGCAGCCGCGGUAAUACGUAUGUCACGAGCGUUAUCCGGAUUUAUUGGGCGUAAAGCGCGUCUAGGUGGUUAUGUAAUUCUGAUGUGAAAAUGUAGGGCUCAACUCUGUAUUGCGUUGGAAACUUGUUUUCUAUAGUACUGGAGAGGUAAGCGGAACUACUAGUGUAUAGGUGAAAUUCUUAGAUAUUUGUAGGAAUGCCGAUGGGGAAGCCAGCUUACUGUACAGAUUCUGACUCUAAGCUGCGAAAUCGUGGGUUGCUAAACGGGAUUGAUAUCCUUGGGUAUCCUAGGGCUGAUGUUCCUCAUUGGAUAUUAUUCCUAUCGAUUCCUUUGACUGCGUGGGGGGGCUCGGUUUCCAUCUAAUAAAACCUGUAAAUAUGUGUAAAUUAAAAAUUCUCUGUCUGCUUUUGCUCUGUCCCCAUCCCCCUCUCGUCAUCCUGCUGUGCUGUUUUCUUUGUGUUCACUGUGUCUAUGAUGUCUAACCUUGCCUCUUGUAUAUCUCGCCUCCUGCUCUUGUGUGUGCAUCUACUCCCUCUUCCUUUCUCCCCCCCUGCUCCUGAACUGUGUCUAUGCCAUGUGCCUAUAGCCCCUGAUGUUUAUGCCUGCUGUACUUCCCUAGUAUGUCCUCCCUUGUCCUGCAUCCCUCCUUCCUUGUGUUUGUUGUUAUUUCCGUGCUUACCGCUGUUAUCUUCAUUAUUAACUACCUGUACUAGUUAUAUGGCUGGUUCUUCCCCUUGACCUUAGCUAUGCCCUGACCCCUCCUAUUUGUAUGUAGCUAUGCCUCUGGCCCUGAGUUUUUGCCCAUUCUAUAUCCCUAUGCCACUAGUACCUUUAUUAAAC